UACGAAGGGUGCAAGCGUUACUCGGAAUUACUGGGCGUAAAGCGUGCGUAGGUGGUUUGUUAAGUCUGAUGUGAAAGCCCUGGGCUCAACCUGGGAAUUGCAUUGGAUACUGGCAGGCUAGAGUGCGGUAGAGGAUGGCGGAAUUCCCGGUGUAGCAGUGAAAUGCGUAGAUAUCGGAAGGAACACCAGUGGCGAAAGCGGCUUCCUGGUCCAGCACCGACGUUCAGGCACGAAAGCGUGGGGAGCAAACAGG
Molecule: ribosomal RNA, 253 nt
Filed under: uncultured bacterium
Lineage: Bacteria
Description: partial 16S ribosomal RNA
Rfam family: Bacterial small subunit ribosomal RNA
Source: RNAcentral